Long non-coding RNA from Aethalodelphis obliquidens (Pacific white-sided dolphin), 6455 nucleotides. RefSeq lists it as uncharacterized. The transcript has 3 exons. NCBI's taxonomy places the organism in Eukaryota, Metazoa, Chordata, Mammalia, Artiodactyla, Delphinidae. The record is from RefSeq and is a predicted model, not a curated record.
AAAGACUCCAGACAUUGCCAAACAUCCCUUGGGACCAAAAUUUUUCCUGCUUGAGAAGCACUGAUUUAAGCUGAGACCCGAAAGAUAAGGAGUCCCUCAAGAGAGGAUUGCAUUGGGGAGUCUUUGAGGCCAUAGUAAAGAGUUUGGAUUUUACUCUAAGUAGAAAGAAAUCAUUGUUUUUAGUCAUGGGUGACAUCAUCUACUUUGAAUUUUGAAAAGCUCCUCCAGGCUGUGGAGUGGAGGGUGGAUUAACUAGAGUAACAGAAAGUCACAGCUGUCAACGGAGGCUGUUACAGUUGUCUGCCCAACACCCAGGAAGGCCUGGACUGGGGCUGUGGCACCGGAGGUGAAGAAAAGGAGAACACCCAGGUCUUGCUGAUGGAUUUGAUGUGGAGAUUCCAUCCCUAAGCGUACCCCAUGGGGCCUCCUUUGCUCCCUGGUGAAGUGUCAGUAUUUGCUGGGGCAGGAAGGGGUGGGAGGUUGGGGAGAUGUUAAACUUCACGCCCGACCCAAUAGCUUCUGGCUCCUAGCUCUCGCGAGAAUAUGUAUGUGGCAUUAACAUUUGGUUGGGAUGAUCCCUGGAAGUGUGCGUGCUGGGCUCAGGGCUCUCUGUCCCCUGUGAUUCUGGCCGAUGGAGAGCAUCUCUUGGGCACUCAAGAUUUCUGUUCAAAAUCCUGGAAAGGCAGAAAAAGCAGAGCUGAUUAAUGAAUGGAGGCUAACUGAGGCUGGAUGCUCAAUUCUCACUUUCAAAGCCAGUGAUGAUGCAAAAUCCACUCGGCAUCCUCAACUCAGUCCAGGAAUCUUGUUCCUUAAUGGGGAAGAAUGGAAGCCCAGUGACCUGGCAGCUGGGGCUGGCAGUAAGCAAAGCUAUUGUUUACGGCAAUAAAUCAUAGCUGACCAUGGGCCCCUUGUGUGAAGUCAGAGAAUGAUGGGCAGGCAUUAGGGGAACAGGGGAGUGAGGAUGUUUGGUGAAAAGCAUUGUGUUACCAGGGAUGUGGGAGAACAGCAGGAGCAAACUAACAAAAUCCUGGGGCGCAAGGAAGGCCUGUUGGUUUGUUUUUAAUUGCAUAGAACACGGUUGCCAGAAUUUUAAAUUGUAGCGCUCUCGGCAUGUAAUUAAGCGAGCGGGUUUAGUUGGCACCAACUGGGAUACCAGGCUGUUGAUACAGCUUAUGAUCUUCUGAUAUUAAAAUUUCAGGGGCUGAGUGUGUGUGUGUCCCUCUCCUAUUGGUACAAUUUUUCUCUGGGCCUCCAAGCUCCACGUAAAAAUGACCAGCUCCCUUCAUGUGUUUUGUUUUGGCGCCCGGAUGAAAGCCCCAUCUAGGUCUCAGUCUGUCCUGCGUCAGUAACAUUCAGUUGAAGGGGUUUGUGGAUCGGAAACAAAGAUGGAUCAUCUCAGCCCAACCAUGGCAUCCCAGUCAUUACAAAUGCUCCCGUGCAAUUUCUUCUUUGGAUUAUCGUCACAGCAUUUUAGAGCUGAAUAUGAACUUGGCAAUUACCUUCUCACUUUAUAUAUGAGAAAUCUGAGGCCAGAGUUGUGAACUUCCUGAAGGUGACUCAGGUGAUGGGUGGUAUCAGGAAAUGCCCGGGACCGGAACCUGGGCCCAGGGUCCUCUCUGGUAUAACCCUGAGGCCCCUCCCAUAGCUCUAGGCUGUCUCUUCUCCAUCCUGCUCCCUGCCCAACCUCCUUCCACAUGAACUCCCACCCUCCUGAAAUACUGCUGUUCUCCCAGUCUUUUGACCAGAAGUAUGGCAGCCCUGCUGCAGAUGUUUCAGGGAGAGAGAAGAGGAAGGUCACGGCCCAGGUAACUUAAAUGCUUUAUGAAAUGGUAGACGAUAGUUCACUUUUUAAGUCACGAGGGAACCAUUUCACCUUGGCAAAGGCAACUUACUUAGUGGACCGUAAUGGCCUGGAAGAGUUCCUGCCCCUCCCCAAAGUGAGCAAUUUCCUCUGUUCAGCUCUGCCUGCACAGGCCCAUUACAUCAUAAAUACACUGUGUGUUUACCUGGCAAUAAUCUCGAGUGGGAACCUUUCAAGAGGUUCUCUUCGAUCCUUCCUAGCAAUGCGCUCAGAAAUGUGGGUGGGUGGGUGGGGGCAGGUGGAGGGCCUCUUCCUAGAGGACGAAAAGGAAGGCACACAGAAGGUCCCGAGAGUGACCAGAGGUCAGGACGGGGUCUCUGAGCCUCGCAGCCACCCCUCCUUCAUGCUGCCUAUUUGGACCUUGUUGCUACCGCAGCAGAUAGAGGAUUUGAACGAGACCCAGUUUCCCCUUCCCGGGCCAGUGAAGGUGGAGUUUCUCAUAUGCUCUUUAUUAGGGGUGGAUAAAGGAGAAAUAGCUGAGGAUCUUUGGGAUUGAAAAGCAUGUUUGUUUGUUUACGGUGACCAUGUCCUAGAUGUCUUGGAUGCCCUGACUUCAAAUAUUCUGUCUUUAUAAGUUCAUGUACUUAACCGAAAUUUACAUUCCCGUUUUUGGUUCUAAAGAUAGAGACGUUACACUUAUUUGGAAGUGGAAUUCUUCACCCCCUUCCUGGUAUCUGACUUUGAACCACACAAAGAACAGAAUCAACACCCCGCCCUCACAAUCACACCAGCUAAUUAUCUAGCGAGCCUGUGACGGGGCCCAGCAAGGCAGAGUGUGUUUGUGAGCCUGGGUUUGGGAAUCCGUUCUGGGUUCAAACCCCAGCUUCCAGCAUCAUAAUGGACAACCCUUUUCUAAGGCUGUUUCAGAGCAUUAGCCUCCAGGUUACCCCUCUAAUCCUUGGUGCCUGACUCAGGGCCUUUGCACGUGUGCUUUCCUUUCUCUGGAAUGCUCUUCCCCCAGAGAUCCACACGCCUACACCCCUGCCUCCUUCAAGCCUUUGCCCAAUGUGAUUGGGUGGAGGCCUUUCACGACCGCUCUCUAAAAUUGCAGUCCGCCACGCCCUCACUCCAUCUUCUUCCUUGCUUUGUUUCUCCACAGCAUUUAUCACCCUCUGGCAUAUUGUACAAUUCACCUAUAUUUCUUAUUUAUUGUCCGUCUCCCCCAGCUACAGUGUAAGCUCCACGAGGGCAGGGAUUUUCGUCGGCUUUGUUCAGGGCUCCAACCCCAGUGUCUGGAACAGUGCCUGACUAUUGGUAGGAACUUAACAAAUACAAAUGGAUACAUCAAUUUGAGCAAAAGUCACUUACCUUUCUGAGCCUAUGUCCUCCCUCUCUUAAAGGAUGGUGUGAGAAUUAAGUAAGACAACUGCUGGAGAUAAAAAUAACAGCCAACAUAUAUUUCGUACUUGCUUAUUCAGUGCCAGUUUUCAAAUGCGCUAAAUGCUUAAUGGGGAUUAUUUGGUUUCAUCCUCCCCCAAAUCCUAUGAGGUAUUCGUUUUAUCUUCAUUUUACACAAGAGGAACCUGAGGCUUAGAGAAGUUGAGUCAUCUAUCCAGGGUCACACACAAUGCAGGUCCAUAUUUGUUUGAGCCCAGAGCCAGCACUCUUAACCCUGACAGCAUCGUGCACAGGGCCUGCUGUGUAGCUGUGGCUUGGCCAGGGCUAAUUCCCUUCUCCAAGUCACAGAGCGUAAGAAGCUUGUGGCCCGUCUGCCCCCUCUUCUGUUGUGAACCUGUCCUUCCCACUGAAACUUGACAUCUUGGAAGCGUCCCCUGUCCUCGGGAGGCAUCGUGGUAAAUGUAGCAGAGAGAUGGUAGGUUUGUUCUUACUGUGUGAUCUUGGGUAAUCAUGUCCGCUCCCUGGGCCCCAGGUUCUACUGGUCUGAUGAGCACUGAGGUCUCUCCCAGCUCGAAACAGCCCUCAGGACCGUAGAGGACACCACCGGGUUGUGUGGUGUAUGAAUCAUGACGGAAGAUCCUGCCCCCAGGCUGUGGCCUUAACCCCACUCUCCUCAAUAAUACAGUCUAUCCUGUUCUGACAGUUGCUGGCCUUUCCCCUCCCACACCUCUAGAGCUUGAACUUCUGGCUGCUGGAUUUGAGGGGGAGGAUGGAGGAAGCAACAUAUCUAGUGAUUCUCUAAGCACUUCUCUAGGGGUGAGACCAAGAGAAAUAAAAGAAAGGCUUGAGAGCCCUUCCCACCCAUAGUCACUGCCUGGGACAGCAUCACUGCAGGAAAUGGACUUCCUUUGUGGGCUCACGGGGGAGAUAUGCCCAGCCCUCCGGAAGCUCUGCAGAAGGGCUUGGGCACUGCUUGUAAAAGCUCAUCUGCCCAACAGCCCCUUUCCGAUUUCCCACCACACGUCCCGCCAAAAGAGCCCCCGGGAUCCCCUUAUUUGCCAACCCUAGAACUGUCUCACUUCAGUUCCAAGUUCUGAACUGGGAUUUCUUCCCCCUCCUUGUGAAAUGGAGGUGACAUGGAGGUUGAUCAAGCCGCGCUAGCCGAGGUCUUGGGUUGUUCUCACUGAGUCAUUCACUUACUCAUCAUUCAUUCAUUAAACUUUUAUGUCCUAGAUUAUUUGCAAGGGAUUCAGAGAGGAAACUAGUCAAAUCCUGGCAAACUUAAAUUCGGUAAUUAGUCAUUUGAGGAGAGUUACUAAAGAGACUUUUCAAAGGUGGAUAGAGUGUAGAAAAACAAGGCGUAGCGUAGUACCCUGGAGCUAGUAAUAUAAGGAUGAUGUUAUCAACCCUGGGCUGAAGGGGUAAAAGGAGAGAACAUUCCCAGAAUCCAAAAAGAAAGAGCCAUGUGGAGAGGGCCACCUGGCAGGAGCUGUGUGUGACCUUAGGUUGAAGGACUUAUCUUGCUGGUGGGGUGAAAACCUUGACCUCCUUCACUUCCCUCCAUUGGCCGAACUCUGUUGAUAUAGUUGGUAUGAGUCAGCCUCUUGGGGUUCACAGCAGGGCAGAGAAGAGCAGAGUGGGGAUCUGGAAGGACAAACAGAUUUCUAGCUCAGAAAUCAGGCACAGCCUCCGUCCUCAAGGAGCUUGCAUACCAGAAGGGGAGACAGGAGUGCAAAUUACAGUGUGAUAAAUGCUUUAACAAAGACAUGAGCAAAGGACAGGAGGAGCUCAGGGUCAGGAAAUGAAAUCUGCGGGGGAGGGUGUUAAUGUGUGUGAAGGUAGGGGGAGGUGGUUGGUUCCCGGGAAGGGGUUUGCAGACAAACUGUUUCUCAAAUGAUGAUCAGGCUUCUUGGAGGAAGUAGUAUCUUGAACUGAGACCUGAAAUAUCAGUAAGAAUUGACCAGGAGAAGAAAAAAAAGAAAAGGAGUCCAGGCAGAGUGAAAAACGUGUAUAAAGGCUGGAGGCUGAAGGAGAGUAUUUCUCUUUGAGAAAUUGACUGAUGUCCUUAUAAGAAGAGGAGAUUAAGACUCAGACAGGCACAGAGAGAAGACCGUGUGUAGACAAGGAGAAGAUGGCCAUCUACAAGCCAAAGAGAGAGGCCUCCAGAAGAAACCAACCCUGCCUACGCCUUCACCUCCAACAUCUAACCUCCAGAACUAUUCUUAUCAUCUCAUUUGAGGCUGCCCUGGAGGUUACUGUGACCUCAGUUUUCCUUAGGACAAUGUAUUGGGUGUUAAAGGAGGGACAAGGAGAGUGUGACCUGGCAGAGAAUGCCCUCCAGCUGCCCUGCCAGCCUCUGGGAGAAGACACAGCCCGAGUGGUUUGGCAGUUAUGGAAAUGCAUGGGCUUUGAAGGUCCAGCUUCAUCCUUCUGGGGCUAUGUGGAAUUUGGUAAGUUACUUAACUUCUCUGAGUCACGCCCCUUUGGUUACAAAUAAUUGAAAGCCACUUGGUUUGUCUUAAUCAGAAUGGAGCGCCUAAUUGAAAGAGUCUCAGAAAAUCUGGGAGCCAGUGGAAGAGUCACCAUGGACCGUGGCGUGGCCUCUUUCUUCCUCCUCUUUCUUCCCUGGAGUUGCAAAGUUCUCUGUGCACCUGAAUUUCAGCACAUCUGAUUCUUUCUUCUUUCUGGCUUAGCCUUCAUGGUACACAUGACCACAGGCUGAUGUUCCAGUCCCCCCGUCAUGAAGGGCCUUACAGUAAUGUCUCUAUAUCCACAUCUACAUUUCUGGGGAAAAAAACUGAACCUGCUGCUCUGGGGUCAAGUUUCCACCGUGGCCUGAGGAGUGUGGGGCAUGCUUGGUACCAGCAUGCCAGCAAUGACCCACCUUUGUGGGUAGAUAGCAGGUCCUCAAAGAAGAGAAAGAAGUGGAAAAUCAUUCAGUUGGGUGUUCAGUGCAGUCUUUAAGCUUUGGUUUUCUCAUAUGAGAAUGGGAAUGAUAUUACCUACCUCAUGAGGAUGAAAUGAAAUACUGUUCGAAAAGUGCUUAUCAUUGUGGCUGACAUAGUAAGCGCUGCCCCUUGAACAACUGCUCUUAUUCAAGUUGAGGUUCACUGGACUUGGCAGGAGAAUCUCUGAGGCUGGAUGGGCCUGGGUAGGACAGGAGGGUCAGGCUGAAGGGAUGGGAUUUGGGAAUAUGGGGAACAUGUCUUUUUUUUUUUUUCCUAAUAGAUUUAUUUAUUUAUUUUUGGCUGCAUUG